This 202-nucleotide ribosomal RNA is filed under the name uncultured bacterium. Its description in RNAcentral is "partial 16S ribosomal RNA". It matches the Rfam family "Bacterial small subunit ribosomal RNA", at positions 524 to 722 of the family's 1533-position model. The record is from RNAcentral.
UACGUAGGGUGCAAGCGUUUGUCCGGAAUUAUUGGGCGUAAAAGAGCUCGUAGGCGGUUCGUCGCGUCGGCUGUGAAAUCCCGGAGCUCAACUCCGGGUCUGCAGUCGAUACGGGCGGACUUGAGUACUGCAGGGGAGACUGGAAUUCCUGGUGUAGCGGUGAAAAUGCGCAGAUAUCAGGAGGAACACCGGUGGCGAAGGC